Molecule: non-coding RNA, 342 nt
Organism: Lonchura striata (white-rumped munia)
Lineage: Eukaryota; Metazoa; Chordata; Aves; Passeriformes; Estrildidae
Source: RefSeq, a predicted model, not a curated record
ACCGAGUGCUGACCAACCCGCUCCACUUGCCAAAAGUUCAGUGCUGGGGAAAGACAGGGCAACUCAAACACACGAACUUUGUGCUGCCAGACCUUCCUUGUGGACUACUGUGUAAAGCAGAAAGGCAAGAUGGGGUCAUCCAGCCCAACCAGUGCUUUUCAUUUGCCUCUGAUAUUUGUAAUGGGUGCAGUCAACCCCUCCUGUUUGCUGCCCUUGUAUGUAGCUUAAUAUGGAAAACAAAACAUGGGCUGCUGAGCUGUGUGUGCUACCAUGUAUGGGGAAAAGGACUUGCCCAAAGCAGAGGCAUAAAUUCUGCUUUCUACUUAUGUGAAGAAUAAAAUG